GAUGAACGCUGGCGGCGUGCCUAAUACAUGCAAGUCGAGCGAACAGACGAGGAGCUUGCUCCUCUGACGUUAGCGGCGGACGGGUGAGUAACACGUGGAUAACCUACCUAUAAGACUGGGAUAACUUCGGGAAACCGGAGCCAAUACCGGAUAAUAUAUUGAACCGCAUGGGUCAAUAGUGAAAGACGGUUUUGCUGUCACUUAUAGAUGGAUCCGCGCCGCAUUAGCUAGUUGGUAAGGUAACGGCUUACCAAGGCGACGAUGCGUAGCCGACCUGAGAGGGUGAUCGGCCACACUGGAACUGAGACACGGUCCAGACUCCUACGGGAGGCAGCAGUAGGGAAUCUUCCGCAAUGGGCGAAAGCCUGACGGAGCAACGCCGCGUGAGUGAUGAAGGUCUUCGGAUCGUAAAACUCUGUUAUUAGGGAAGAACAAAUGUGUAAGUAACUAUGCACGUCUUGACGGUACCUAAUCAGAAAGCCACGGCUAACUACGUG
RNAcentral lists this ribosomal RNA (497 nucleotides) under uncultured bacterium. RNAcentral describes it as "partial 16S ribosomal RNA". It matches the Rfam family "Bacterial small subunit ribosomal RNA", at positions 28 to 507 of the family's 1533-position model. The record is from RNAcentral.